CCAAUGCAUAGCCCUAGGGGUGUUGCCUCACACCUUUAUCUAGGUUCGGGUGGUCCAAAGUAGGUUCGGAUGAGGAGGUAGCCUCUUCAUCAGGAGGCAACCUCUUCAGCCAUAAAGUGAAAAAUGUGAGAGAGAAAGAGAAAAACCAAAUCAGCUUUUGAGAGAAAGACAUAUUAAUGGGACCAUAACAUGGCAUGCAUAUGUCAAAAGUUUUAUCCAAGCCUAGUUGGACAGCUGCCUCCAUUGCUCAUGCCCUUAUGUCUCCAACGCCCACCGUCCCCACACUCGUCCUUCCCCUUCCCAACCUCCGCCCACCUCCUUCCCUCCGGCGGCUGGCCGCACCUCCUUCCCCCCGGCGGCUGGCUGCGUCCCUGCGCCGCCUCCUCUCGCGUGGCAGAACCGCUUCUCUAUCCAAAUCCCUACUCCUCCCUCAAAAAAAUCUUCACCAUCCCCGCGUCCCCCUUUCUUCCUCUCUCCCUCACCUGGCUCCUGCCACUCCCACUGAUGCAAGACUACCCCUGCCUCACAGAGCUUGGGGAUAAAUCAAGGCGGCGUGUGGGUCGGGGAGAGGGAAGGAGGCGGGCAGGAGCAUGGUUGUGGAGGCCUCGCGGCGAGCGGCGAGGUCGGCUGGCGCCUGCCCUCGUCCUCCAUCCGGCACAGCUACGGCGUUCCCGCACGGCACCCGUUCCCCCGCACCACCGCACGCACCAACUACCCCGCGAAAUCAGCAGCUCAUCCCCGCAGGUCAUCCACUCUGCCUCUUUGCGGUUCUUGCCAGGGAAAAACCGCGCCACCUCCACCGCGAAUCCACCAGGGGCGACUCCCACCGUGUCCUUCUUUUCUCUUUCCUGCCUCUAUUUGAUUUUGUGUUCUUUAACGUUUCUUAAUUUUUUCCUGGUCUUAACUUGCCCUUUUUAUCGGAUCUUUGUUAGCUUGUGGGGUGGCUGUGUGAUUAGACAAAUGGAUUUGAGGUUGGAUUUCCUUGUUGCCUCCGUAAGUUGGAAUUGAGGUCGAAUUUGCUGUACGCGAUACGGUGCUGGUCCUUGGAGGCGACCCCAUCCCUGCGUAUCAGUAUCACGCACAAGAGGUCAGGGAGAGCUGAGGUCCCAGGAGAGGACUGGAGCUCCUCCCGGCCGCGCGGCGUUUCUCCCAACCGUCGCCGCGCGUGAUUCCUCUCGGUGGCGCGCCAUUCUCGUGCCGUCGGCCGCUCGCUCUUCCUCCCGACGUCAGACCGCCCGACUCCUGAUUAGGCCCUAAGUCACCGCAGCCCAAUCUCGCCAGUCGUCUCCAUGAUUUUUGGACUUCACUAUCUUGCUUUGUGUUCUGCUCCGUCCAGAUGUUUUUGUGGAUUUUGUGCUAAUGGUUAGUAUUGAUUAGCAUGGCAGCAAAACAGCUACGUAUUUAUGUAUUCUCCUCAGAAAGGAAGCAAUCGUUUUUGUUCAGCUUUGUUUAGCGCACUGGAUGUGCCUAUGUGAGGGAGAUCAGUUCUUCUUCUUAGAUCUCUUCUAAUUUUCUCCAGCCUCCAGGGAUUUAGUUUUGAUCUGGUCCAAACAUACUGCUGAAACUUUUGGGUCGUUGACUCCGGAUGCCCUCUAUGGAUCAUUAUUUGUUGAAUUUCUUGCCAAUCACCCGAAUGGUAUGUACUAAGUGUGUUUCUCAAUUUUACAUUCCCCUUUUUUUCCUGAUCUGCACUUUGCUUUUUUUUUUCUGACCUUACUCCGUUAAAUUAUGGGGUUUGCUGUGUACAUGGAUUUUAGGUUGAUGUUUCAAAAUCGAUCAAACAAAAAGCAAGUGGUGAUGAGUUGAUAUGAAAGGGGGAUUUAUGUUUUGCCCCGGUUUACUUAUGGCCUUUAUGCCACGGUGGCGCUUGCCACUGCAUCCUCACCACCACUUAUUUCCGGCCAUAGUCUGGUCAAUCCUGGUCAGCUGAGGGCAAAUGGAGACAGGGGUAGCGGCGGGUAAGCAGCAGCUGAACAAGCGUCACCACGGCGGCGACCUGAUUUGGGUCAUGGUGCACUGUUUGGUAUCGUUAUUUUGCUUGCAUUCAUCAAUAACAUAUUGUGGAAUUUUCUUAAUAUGACAGCCUACUAUCGGUAUCGGCCGUAUCGAUUGGUGCACAGCAUACACGGGGCUGGCUUUGACGGAAUUGAAAGAAACACAGCUCCCCUUGUUAAUGGACGCGUUCCCGUGCUGGAUAGAAAUAAGCCAACAUAUUUAAUAGAUACAAGCUUGUCGAGGAGUUUGCCACAGAUGCCUAUGCAGGCUGAUCCCUACCUAAGAUUAACCAGAAAAGAUCGCCACAGGAGGCUCUGUGAUGAUCGCAUUUUCCUACAGAAUAGUUUGUGUUUCCGAGUUUUUUUUUAGAUAGCCGCUGUGUAGUUUGAUCCUCAUUCCUACAUUUUAUGUUUCGGAAAAUCUGACCGUACCGUGUGUUAAUUGUCAUUUUAUGUAAAAAAGCAUACCGUGACGUAUGAUGGUUGGCGUUCAAUAAAUCUGCCUUGCGUGGAUGAGCAAAUUUAAUGUUUUUUUUA
This is a non-coding RNA of Lolium perenne, 2531 nucleotides long. The record is from RefSeq and is a predicted model, not a curated record. NCBI's taxonomy places the organism in Eukaryota, Viridiplantae, Streptophyta, Magnoliopsida, Poales, Poaceae.